RNAcentral lists this ribosomal RNA (863 nucleotides) under uncultured archaeon. Its description in RNAcentral is "bacterial SSU rRNA". It matches the Rfam family "Archaeal small subunit ribosomal RNA", at positions 474 to 1337 of the family's 1478-position model. The record is from RNAcentral.
UACCCGCGGCCCGAGUUGUGACCAUUAUUAUUGAGUCUAAAGCGUUCGUAGCUGGUUUGGAUAGUUUGUGCUUAAAUCUUUUCGUUUAACGAAAAGGCAUGGUAUAAAUACUUCCAGACUAGAGGCCGGGAGGGGAGAUGGGAACUUUUCGGGUAGGAGUAAAAUCCUUUAAUCCGAAAAAGACCACCAAUAGCGAAGGCACAUCUCCAGAACGGACCUGACGGUGAGGGACGAAGGCUAGGAGAACAAACCGGAUCAGAUACCCGGGUAGCCCUAGCAGUAAACGCUGCUUACUAUACGUUGCAUUUUCUUGAGAAAAUGCAGUGUGACAGCGAAGGCGUUAAGUAAGCCACUUGGGGAGUAUAAUCGCAAGGUCGAAACUUAAAGGAAUUGGCGGGGGAGCACAAAAACGGGUGAAGUUUGCGGUUUAAUUGGAUUCAACUCCGGGAAUCUUACCAGAAGCGACAGCAAUAUGAAGGCCAGUCUGAAGAACUUGCCAAAUGCGCUGAAAGGUGUUGCAUGGCCAUCAUCAGUUAGUAUCUUGAGACGUCCCGUUAAGUCGGGUAACUAACAAGACCCUCUUCUAUAUUUGCUAACAUGCAAUCCGUUGUGAAUGAGCAAAAUAUAGAGACAGCUUUCGAAAGAAAGAGGAAGGUGAGGGCGACGGUAGGUCAGUACGACCCUAAUCCUCUGGGCUACACGCGAAUUGCAAUGGUAAAGGCAAUAGGAUGCCACUCCGAAAGGAGGAGCUAAUCCCCGAAUCUUUACCCUAGUUCGGAUCGAGGUCUGUAACUCGGCCUCGUGAAGGCGGAAUCCGUAGUAACCGCGUUUCAACAAAGCGCGGUGAAUACUUUCCUGCUCCU